Small nucleolar RNA from Hevea brasiliensis (rubber tree), 107 nucleotides. NCBI's taxonomy places the organism in Eukaryota, Viridiplantae, Streptophyta, Magnoliopsida, Malpighiales, Euphorbiaceae. The record is from RefSeq and is a predicted model, not a curated record.
AUGUCAUGAUUUGGACAUUGCCUCUCUAAUUCCUUCUAUCUCAUUUAUGACUCAUAAAGAGUCUCAUCCUCUCUAGGUCAAAAAGCAGUCAUCUGAUUCCUUAACUC